Molecule: non-coding RNA, 31 nt
Filed under: Homo sapiens (human)
Lineage: Eukaryota; Metazoa; Chordata; Mammalia; Primates; Hominidae
Source: RNAcentral
UAAAAAAGAGGGGCCUCAAGAUUUGGUGAGC